UGUAUGGGGGUUUCCUUGCCGGGAAAGUGUCAGCCAUCCGGAAAAGCCAUCGGGAAAAAAGGCGGGUUAUAGUUCGCUUGUCGGAAAGUUGCCGCUUGCUUGUUAAGCCGAUAUUUAUUUGACCGGACACACAUUCAUAAAUACCAUUUAUUACUGGCAGUUGGAAACAUUACUUCGCAUGUUGCAAACUCGAAGGGUUUAUUUCGCCGGGCAUCAACUGGGCAAUGGCAUUUAUUUCACGUGUUGUCUUCGUAACCCCUGUACACUGCAGGUGCAGGCCAGUUCAUCAUUUCCUGAUGUAACAAUUAAGAAGCACGGAGUAGGGAUUUAGCUCGUAUUGUUUUUUGUUUAGCUCAAUUUGAAGCAAGCCCUUGCAUGGUGUUCUCACAGCAUACAUUUCUUCGAAAAGCUCAAACAGAUUGAAGAAGGUACAUACAGUACGCUCAAGCCCUUUACCAGACUCUAUACGUCGCCAGCUUCAUCGACAACUACCGACAGGAGCUCGCUACAUACCCUGCUUUGACUACAGGUACACAACAAGUACAAGCAAUAUACAAUAUUACUAGGAUUCAUGCUUGAGGAAAUACUUUUUGAACACAUAUCUUUGGCUAUAGACUCACUAUUUCACCGUUCAAAACCCCAUUCCUCA
Long non-coding RNA from Cryptomeria japonica (Japanese cedar), 649 nucleotides. RefSeq lists it as uncharacterized. The transcript is spliced from 4 exons. NCBI's taxonomy places the organism in Eukaryota, Viridiplantae, Streptophyta, Pinopsida, Cupressales, Cupressaceae. The record is from RefSeq and is a predicted model, not a curated record.